This 253-nucleotide ribosomal RNA is filed under the name uncultured bacterium. RNAcentral's name for it is "partial 16S ribosomal RNA". It matches the Rfam family "Bacterial small subunit ribosomal RNA", at positions 524 to 776 of the family's 1533-position model. The record is from RNAcentral.
UACGUAGGGAGCAAGCGUUGUCCGGAAUCAUUGGGCGUAAAGCGUGCGCAGGCGGUUCUCCAAGUCCGUUGUGAAAGCCCCGGGCUCAACCUGGGAAUGGCAGUGGAAACUAGGGGACUGGAAUCUGGCAGAGGGGGGUGGAAUGCCGCGUGUAGCAGUGAAAUGCGUAGAGAUGCGGCGGAACACCGAUGGCGAAGGCAGCCCCCUGGGCUGAGAUUGACGCUCAGGCACGAAAGCGUGGGGAGCAAACAGG